CAGCAGUGAGUAACCUGGCUACAAGUUGUCCUUGGCCAUGUAUGCCUGUUAUGGCUGCCCUAUGGGCUCAAAAGGUUAGACGGUGGAGUGACUUUCUUGUUUUCUCUGCGUCCCGGACUGUUUUCCACCACAGCAGUGAUGCAGUGGUUCAACUUCUUCGUGUCUGCUUUACAGCUACACUAGGUUUAGGUAGAUCUUCUAUAGAAAGCAACGGUGGGGUCGGUUCACUUCUUGGUCAUGGAUUUGGUUCGCAUUUUUCUGGUGGCAUUUCUGCUGUUGCCCCUGGUAUACUCUACUUGCGUGUUCAUAGAGCUGUCAGAAAUGUCAUGUUUAUGUCAGAAGAGAUAGUCUCCCUUUUGAUGCAUUUUGUCAGAGAUAUUGCGGAUAGUGGAGUUCCUGCUAAGGAUUUGGAGAAACUGAAGAAAACUAGAGGUGAUAUAAGGUCUCUCUCUAGUCAGAAAACAGAUAUUGGAUUCCCUGCAUCUUGUCACGUCUCUCUUGCUGCAGCAAUGGUCCGUGUCAAGCUUGCAGCUUCAUUGGGUGCUUCAUUAGUUUGGAUUACGGGUG
Molecule: unclassified non-coding RNA, 567 nt
Filed under: Hevea brasiliensis (rubber tree)
Lineage: Eukaryota; Viridiplantae; Streptophyta; Magnoliopsida; Malpighiales; Euphorbiaceae
Source: RNAcentral